UGAACACCGUGAAAGAGUGCAACAUGAUGCAACAACACAAAAGACAUAAUAUUGAUUGAAAGAAGCCAGACACAGACACUGCAUGAUUUCAUUUACAUGAAGUUCAAAAGCAAGCGAGCUAAUCAAUGGGGUUAGAAGUUGAGACAGGGGUUCCUCUGCAGGGGGUGGCGUCUGGGAAGAGGUGUUUCCAUGCGGUGACCUUAAGAGUCCCAUUGUUUCCUGUGAAUGAUGGGCCCUGGCUGCCUUCCACCCAUAUUUCCAGGCCUUUAGAGUGAGACUGGUCAUGGGCCUCCUUCUGUCCAAUGGCUGUGAAGAGAGCCGGAACAACCCCUUCCUUAGUGUUCAAACUUGGAGUGAGUCUAAUCAAACCUCCAUGCUGUCUGUUGGCCAAGAGGAGGACACAGGACACACGGCAGGCCCGCUUGUGCCCCUCCUGGGGCUGUGAAUCACAUGAAGACUGAGCCAGAUACUCUUGGCAGCUGAAGACUGGGUCUCUGUCUUGGAAAUGAAGAUCAACAAGCAUUAGAGAGGCCUCAAGGAGAUGCUCCCCUACAACUGAGACUUCCUCCUUGAUGGAAUCAGCUGAAGAGGAAGUAACUCUCUCCCGGGGGUAUUUGACUUGUGCCUGAAUAACUCUCCAAGUAAUCUCAUAGACCACUCGUGGUUGGCGCCCGUGGAUGCUGCCUCAGCAGCCUCUGUCUGCUUCAAGAUCCUGUGGCCAGCUGACUGCCAGGUCCCGCUUACUGCUGCCCUCUGGGGAUUGCCCACUGCUGCCUGCCUGAAAUUGCCCACUGCUGCUUGCCCCACCGGAGAAGGCAAUGACACCCCAUUCCAGUACUCUUGCCUGGAAAAUUCCAUGGAUGGAGGAGCCUGGUAGGCUGCAGUCCAUGGGAUCACCGAGAGUCGGACAUGACUGAGU
Molecule: long non-coding RNA, 919 nt
Organism: Bos taurus (domestic cattle)
Lineage: Eukaryota; Metazoa; Chordata; Mammalia; Artiodactyla; Bovidae
Source: Ensembl